Molecule: ribosomal RNA, 507 nt
Filed under: uncultured bacterium
Lineage: Bacteria
Description: bacterial SSU rRNA
Rfam family: Bacterial small subunit ribosomal RNA
Source: RNAcentral
GACGAACGCUGGCGGCGUGCCUAACACAUGCAAGUCGAGCGGAGUCGAUCGACGGAAGCCUUCGGGCGGAAGAUGGUUGACUUAGCGGCGGAUGGGUGAGUAACGCGUGGGCAACCUGCCUCGAAGACCGGGAUAACAGCCCGAAAGGGCUGCUAAUACCGGAUGUGGUCAAAGAUCCGCAUGGAUUUUUGAUUAAAGGGGAAACCCGUUUCGAGAUGGGCCCGCGUCCUAUCAGCUAGUUGGUGAGGUAAAAGCUCACCAAGGCGACGACGGGUAGCCGGCCUGAGAGGGUGACCGGCCACACUGGAACUGAGACACGGUCCAGACUCCUACGGGGGGCAGCAGUGGGGAAUCUUCCACAAUGGGCGAAAGCCUGAUGGAGCGACGCCGCGUGAGCGAAGAAGGCCUCGGUUGUAAAGCUCUGUCUGGAGGGACGAAGGAAGUGACGGUACCUCCGGAGGAAGCCACGGCUAACUACGUGCCAGCAGCCGCGGUAAAGUACUCUAU